RNAcentral lists this ribosomal RNA (405 nucleotides) under uncultured Eubacteriales bacterium. RNAcentral's name for it is "uncultured Clostridiales bacterium partial 16S ribosomal RNA". It matches the Rfam family "Bacterial small subunit ribosomal RNA", at positions 355 to 774 of the family's 1533-position model. The record is from RNAcentral. Lineage: Bacteria; Bacillati; Bacillota; Clostridia; Eubacteriales.
UGGGGAAUAUUGGGCAAUGGAGGAAACUCUGACCCAGCAAUACCGCGUGAGUGAAGAAGGUCUUCGGAUUGUAAAGCUCUUUUAUGAGGGACGAAAAAAAUGACGGUACCUCAAGAAACAGCCACGGCAAACUACGUGCCAGCAGCCGCGGUAAUACGUAGGUGGCAAGCGUUGUCCGGAAUGACUGGGCGUAAAGGGUGCGUAGGUGGUUCUAUAAGUUGGCAGUGAAAUCCCGGGGCUCAACUCCGGUGCUACUGUCAAAACUGUGGAACUAGAGUGUGGGAGAGGUAAGUGGAAUUCCUAGUGUAGCGGUGGAAUGCGUAGAUAUUAGGAGGAACACCAGAGGCGAAGGCGGCUUACUGGACCAUAACUGACACUGAGGCACGAAAGCGUGGGGAGCAAACA